GGUUCCAUAGUGUAGAGGUUAGCACAUCUGCUUUACACACAGAAGGUCCUGGGUUCGUGGCCCAGUAGAGCCA
RNAcentral lists this transfer RNA (73 nucleotides) under Pteropus alecto (black flying fox). It matches the Rfam family "tRNA". From Rfam's summary of the family: Transfer RNA (tRNA) molecules are approximately 80 nucleotides in length. Their secondary structure includes four short double-helical elements and three loops (D, anti-codon, and T loops). The record is from Rfam by way of RNAcentral. Lineage: Eukaryota; Metazoa; Chordata; Mammalia; Chiroptera; Pteropodidae. RNAcentral also lists the same sequence under 1 other name.